CAAUAGCGUAUAUUAAAGCUGUUGCGGUUAAAAAGCUCGUAGUUGGAUUUCUGUCAAGGACAACUGGUCCGCCCUCCGGGUGAGCACAUAGUUUGGUCUUGACAUCUUGCUGGAAGCUGUUGCUGCACUUGGCUGUGUGGCGCAGUGUUCAGCACUUUCACUUUGAGGAAAUUGGAGUGUUUCAAGCAGGCACAUGCCUUUGGACACAGUAGCAUGGAAUAAUUAGAUUGGGCUUUUGCUCCAAUUUGUCGGUUUCUGGAGCUGAGGUGAGUAUUAAUGGGGAUUGUUGGGGGCAUCCGAUUUUAGCCGUCAGAGGUGAAAUUCUUGGAUCUGCUAAAGACGGACAACUGCGAAAGCGUUUGCCCAGGAUGUUUUCAUUGA
This 381-nucleotide ribosomal RNA is filed under the name uncultured eukaryote. RNAcentral's name for it is "partial 18S ribosomal RNA". It matches the Rfam family "Eukaryotic small subunit ribosomal RNA", at positions 592 to 976 of the family's 1831-position model. The record is from RNAcentral.